This 250-nucleotide ribosomal RNA is filed under the name uncultured bacterium. RNAcentral's name for it is "partial 16S ribosomal RNA". It matches the Rfam family "Bacterial small subunit ribosomal RNA", at positions 524 to 773 of the family's 1533-position model. The record is from RNAcentral.
GACGGGGGGUCCUAGCGUUGUUCGGAAUCAUUGGGCGUAAAGCGUGUGCAGGCGGCUUUGAAAGUUGGAUGUGAAAGCCCCGAGCUUAACUCGGGAAGUGCAUUCAAAACUCCAAAGCUUGAGUAUGGAAGAGGGUCGUGGAAUUCCAGGUGUAGUGGUGAAAUACGUAGAUAUCUGGAGGAACACCGGCGGCGAAGGCGGCGACCUGGUCCAAUACUGACGCUCAUACACGAAAGCGUGGGGAUCAAAC